UCAAACUGGAGAUGGCGACCGGCGCACGGGUGAGUAACACGUAUCCAACCUGCCGAUAACUCGGGGAUAGCCUUUCGAAAGAAAGAUUAAUACCCGAUGGCAUAAUAGAACCGCAUGGUUUGAUUAUUAAAGAAUUUCGGUUAUCGAUGGGGAUGCGCUCCAUUAGGCAGUUGGUGGGGUAACGGCCCACCAAACCUUCGAUGGAUAGGGGUUCUGAGAGGAAGGUCCCCCACAUUGGAACUGAGACACGGUCCAAACUCCUACGGGAGGCAGCAUG
Molecule: ribosomal RNA, 277 nt
Filed under: uncultured bacterium
Lineage: Bacteria
Description: partial 16S ribosomal RNA
Rfam family: Bacterial small subunit ribosomal RNA
Source: RNAcentral